This is a small nuclear RNA of Bison bison bison, 106 nucleotides long. Its record names the gene U5. It matches the Rfam family "U5 spliceosomal RNA". Rfam says of the family: U5 RNA is a component of both types of known spliceosome. The precise function of this molecule is unknown, though it is known that the 5' loop is required for splice site selection and p220 binding, and that both the 3' stem-loop and the Sm site are important for Sm protein binding and cap methylation. NCBI's taxonomy places the organism in Eukaryota, Metazoa, Chordata, Mammalia, Artiodactyla, Bovidae. The record is from Ensembl.
AUACUCUGGUUUCUCUUGAAAUCGAAUAUAUCUUUUGCCUUUUACUAAAGAUUUCUGUAGAGAGAAACAACUCUGAGUGUUCAACUCAGAGCCCUUGGCAGGGCUA